ACGGGAGGCAGCAGUGAGGAAUAUUGGUCAAUGGGCGCAAGCCUGAACCAGCCAAGUCGCGUGAAGGAAGACUGCCCUAUGGGUUGUAAACUUCUUUUGCAUGGGAAUAAAGUGAGCCACGUGUGGCUUUUUGUAUGUACCAUGCGAAUAAGCAUCGGCUAACUCCGUGCCAGCAGCCGCGGUAAUACGGAGGAUGCGAGCGUUAUCCGGAUUUAUUGGGUUUAAAGGGUGCGCAGGCGGCACGUUAAGUCAGCGGUGAAAUGCAGGGGCUCAACCCCGGCACUGCCGUUGAAACUGGCGAGCUCGAGUACGGAUGAAGUCGGCGGAAUGUGAUGUGUAGCGGUGAAAUGCUUAGAUAUGUCACAGAACACCGAUUGCGAAGGCAGCUGACUAAUCCGCAACUGACGCUCAGGCACGAAAGCGUGGGGAUCGAACAGGAUUAGAUACCCUGGUA
RNAcentral lists this ribosomal RNA (454 nucleotides) under uncultured Barnesiella sp. RNAcentral's name for it is "partial 16S ribosomal RNA". It matches the Rfam family "Bacterial small subunit ribosomal RNA", at positions 341 to 792 of the family's 1533-position model. Lineage: Bacteria; Pseudomonadati; Bacteroidota; Bacteroidia; Bacteroidales; Barnesiellaceae. The record is from RNAcentral.